GCGGGUAUGGUGUAAUGGUAGCACAGCAGCCUUCCAAGCUUCUGGUAUCGGUUCGAAUCCGAUUACCCGCUCCA
RNAcentral lists this transfer RNA (74 nucleotides) under Pleurocapsa sp. SU_196_0. RNAcentral describes it as "tRNA-Gly". It matches the Rfam family "tRNA". From Rfam's summary of the family: Transfer RNA (tRNA) molecules are approximately 80 nucleotides in length. Their secondary structure includes four short double-helical elements and three loops (D, anti-codon, and T loops). Further hydrogen bonds mediate the characteristic L-shaped molecular structure. tRNAs have two regions of fundamental functional importance: the anti-codon, which is responsible for specific mRNA codon recognition, and the 3' end, to which the tRNAs corresponding amino acid is attached (by aminoacyl-tRNA synthetases). tRNAs cope with the degeneracy of the genetic code in two manners: having more than one tRNA (with a specific anti-codon) for a particular amino acid; and 'wobble' base-pairing, i.e. permitting non-standard base-pairing at the 3rd anti-codon position. Lineage: Bacteria; Bacillati; Cyanobacteriota; Cyanophyceae; Pleurocapsales; Pleurocapsaceae. The record is from RNAcentral.